This 300-nucleotide unclassified non-coding RNA is filed under the name uncultured Podospora. RNAcentral describes it as "sequence contains 5.8S rRNA gene, ITS2". The stretch from base 1 to 89 matches the Rfam family "5.8S ribosomal RNA", at positions 64 to 154 of the family's 154-position model. The record is from RNAcentral. Lineage: Eukaryota; Fungi; Ascomycota; Sordariomycetes; Sordariales; Lasiosphaeriaceae.
AUUGUGUAUAAGAGACAGGUGAGUCAUCGAAUCUUUGAACGCACAUUGCGCCCGCCAGCAUUCUGGCGGGCAUGCCUGUCCGAGCGUCAUUUCAACCAUCAAGCCCCGGGCUUGUGUUGGGGACCUGCGUCCGACGCAGGCCCUGAAAACCAGUGGCGGGCUCGCUGUCCACGCCGAGCGUAGUAACUCACCUCGCUGCGGAGUGGCGCGGGCGCCUGCCGUGAAACCCCCGACCCCCAAAGGUUGACCUCGGAUCAGGUAGGAAUACCCGCUGAACUUAAGCAUAUCAAUAAGCGGAGG